Molecule: long non-coding RNA, 383 nt
Filed under: Homo sapiens (human)
Lineage: Eukaryota; Metazoa; Chordata; Mammalia; Primates; Hominidae
Description: HSALNT0235577
Source: RNAcentral
GAAGGUGCUCUACCAGCGUGCACCCAGGAAUAUCCACCGCCAUGUGAUCCUCUCUGAGAUCAAGGAAGCCGUCGCUGCCCUGCCCCCGCAGAUGCAUCCAGUCCAUGCUGGAGUCGACAGAAGGACUCUGCUGGGAGAGGUAGAGGCCCCCUGGCAGCAUCUGUAGCAUCUUCGUUUUAUGUCCCUUUCUGAAGGACGUGACCACGCAGUCUGUGAUGGGGUUUGAUCCUCUGCCUCCUUCGGACACAAUCUACUCCUACGUCAGGCCAGAGAGGCUAAGUCCUAUCAGCCAUGGAAACACCAUUGCUCUCUUCUUCCGGUCACUGUUGCCAAACUAUACCAUGGAGGAGGCAGCAGACACGAGGGGCUGCCCGAGGCUCUAG